RNAcentral lists this long non-coding RNA (2648 nucleotides) under Xyrichtys novacula (pearly razorfish). The record is from RNAcentral. Lineage: Eukaryota; Metazoa; Chordata; Actinopteri; Labriformes; Labridae.
UUAAUGUGUGUUAAUGUGUGUUUGUGUGUGUGUGUGUGUGUGUGUGUGUGUGUGUUAGAUAGAUAGACGGAGCAGCACCUAUAGACGACCGACCCGACAGAGUGACCGUGUCCGACUCUUAGAUCAUCACUCACCGAACACACACACGUCUAGACAGACCAUCUGACCAAUGCACAUGUAUACUGUACACACACACAAACACACACACACACACACACACACACACAGAUGGCCAGACAGAGCAUGUGGCAAAAACACUUAAAAAUAUUGAAGCUUUCAUGAAAACUAACAGAAAGUUUGAAGUCUGCAGGUCUGCUGUAAACUCUGAAGGACGCUCAUGUGAUCAUGUACCGGUCCGACAACACCUUUAAAGCUCCUAUAAGGGAUUUUACUCAGAUAUGAAACUGAUUUAAAGGGAGCUGAUGACUUUUAUGAGCAGGAACAUGUUUGGACCUUUUUCACCUCAAAGCUUCGCACUGAGCGGGUCCGGGAUCCAAAGAUCUACAUGCAGUUUAAAUAAAUGGAUGUUUUGCAUCAGUCCGACUGAAACUGGACUUUAAAAAACCCUGAACACGUUAGUCCAGCUGAGAUCAGUACGAGGAGGGACCAGAAAACAGUGUUUCGGUGGAGUACAGCAGAUGGUGUCAGUAUUACUGAUCAAUAUUAAAGGUGGGGUCGGGGUCAGGCGUGCUACAAUAUCGGACAGUAGAAACCAACCAGAAAGUUCGGAAAAUUGUCUGAAUCCUCCUUUGGCCACGACUGCCGACACAAGCAAGAAAACAAAGUAAAUACCGGAGACUCUGGAGGAAUAACGGGCGCUUAAAACGGAGGUAGACCGGACAAGAGCUAAAAAGCCGGGUCAACAUAAACCAUGGGGGACGCUUGGGGGUCUUGGUGACCCUGUAACCUUUCUGCUGGACAGGUAAACCGCUUUAACAAAGUAAGACAAGUGUCUGUAACAGAAGUGUUUCUUGUCAAACGGACCUGCUGUAGCGUGUUGUAGCGCCAUCGCUAAACUGUCCUCCCUCGGGUCCUGGACUAUGUCACUUUAUCCUCGUUGUAGAAGUCCUGCAAACAUUGUGUUUGCUGGUAGUCUGUUGGCAUCUACAGUAGCACCAAUGCUUUUGACUUUCACCUUGACUGGGCCCCAUUUGUAAUGAUCUGAAGGAUUUAUCUGCAUUAUAUCUGAAUUUAACUGGAACGAUACGAGCGAGCAGGAGCGUCUGUUUGUGGGCGGGGCUUGAGGGGAGAGGAGGAGCUGAGGGGAAAACUGGUUGGGAGGGGUAGAGUUUACAUUCAAGAUUUCUACUAAAAACUGGAACUUCAUCAGAUCCUGACUACAACACCUUUAACUAAGAUUGUCACCGAUAGACUCCAAGUCUUCCUCUAAACCAGCACACACUCUAACUUCUGACUUCUCAUUGAACCUGAACCCCUCCAAAAUAAAAGCCCCGGCCUCGCUCGUCCCUCUCUCGGAGUAAAAUCAUGAGCUCCAACCUGCAGAACAUUAAACUCCUCUCAGCCACAUUCCUGCCGCUCUGUACAUUCCUCUGCAGGUUAACAGAUCCCAGACCAGCCUGGACAUGCGGGAGCUGCAGAGCUGAUUUAUGACAUUUACUAUCUGACAUUUACAGCCGAGAAACAGAGGCAGGAAGGAGGGCGAGCGAUGGCUUUGGUGUUUAUUUUAGCAUUGACUGUGGAGAGAGAGAGAGAGAGAGAGAGAGAGGAGAGUCCGUGAAAAAUAUCCCUGCUGGUUCACUCACUCAAAUUUCUCCAUCGCAGUUAAAAACGUUUAUUUUAGCAGACUGUGUCCCGCUGCUUUAAAACCUGGAUUACCUUUUAAAGACACGAAUUAUCGUGUAAUUCAACGUCCAGGAUAACAAGACGGCUUUGGGAUUGAGUUGACAGAAGGGCGAUGAUAAUGAUUGGUUGGGUGCAGAGUUAGGAAAUCACCAAAACAAAGUUGGUGAGUGCUCCAGGAGAACCUGCACCAGUCUGCAGGCAGCUGUUGAAGUGUUGUCGUCAUGGUUACGACAGCAUGUCUCUGAUUGGUGCUUUGAAAUUACCUUUUUGUGGUCAACAAUGAAGUGGGAAAUAUCUAUAGAUGCCGAUCACGACCAAACCUGCAGAGACCCAGACCUUAUCUCCACGCAGACCUGUAGACUCUGAGGGGCGUGUCCUGAUCGCACACUUUCAGCUCUGAAGGUUAUGAUGGCGUCAUGUGGCGUGUUGCAGCUUUCAUCAAUGCAGCUGUCUUGCAGCGAACGCCGGGCCUCAGACUGAAGUGGAGUUUGAGGUGAAUCUGAGUCGAUACAGACGGUUUAGAUUUCCGUCAGAUUUCACUCGUCGAGGGUCCGCUGUCACGUCUCACUUUAGAUUUUUCACAGUAACUCUGAAUCUCAUUAUCGCCGUCUCUUCUUCACCUUUCCACCCCUCUCUAACCGCCCUCUCUUCCUCCGUCUCUAUCAGCACUUCCUGUCUGUCUGGGUCCACUGCCGGCCACGUGGCCUCAUGGGAAACACAAUGUUCGCUCUCAGCCAAUCAGACUGAUCGUAUCUGACAUCUCCUGCCUGAGAACGCCGUGUUCCUCCGCCACUGUGUGUGUGUGUGUGUGUGUGUGUGUGUGUGUGUGUGUGUGUGUGUGUGUG